This 572-nucleotide unclassified non-coding RNA is filed under the name Hevea brasiliensis (rubber tree). Lineage: Eukaryota; Viridiplantae; Streptophyta; Magnoliopsida; Malpighiales; Euphorbiaceae. The record is from RNAcentral.
GUAUUGGAAAUGUUUUACUCUGAAUAAUAGAGGAACUUUCAGCUAAAAAAUUUAAAUAUAUAACGAUGGCAAUCUGCAACUAAAGAGCGAUGUUCCAUUGGGUUAUUUUUGGAGAAGUCCCAUCUUGUGACUAUCGAGGAUAUACUUCAGUGAUUGAUGCUUCAUCAACAGAACAUUGCGCUGACUUGCUAGUAGAUUGAUCCGACUCCAACGCCUUUAAUGUUAAGCUCUGCCCUGAUCUGCUGUUGAGAACAAAUGCUGGCUGCCGAGGCACUGGAAGAGUAACAGAAUAACUGUUAAGCAUAAGAACUACUGUUCCCAUUGUUGGUCUGUCAGCUGGAUCUUCUUGAACACAUAACAACCCUAUUUCGAUGCAUCUUAAGACUUCAUUUCUUGAAUGUGAAUCUAUCAAAACUGGAUCCAACACUUCCAAAGGUGUCCCAUUUCUCCAAUGUUUCCAUACAUAGCUCACAAGAUCAUCAGCACCAUCUAUUUGAUAGAAAGAACUAUUCUUCUUUCCACUUAUAAUUUCGAGAACUAAGACACCAAAGCUGUACAUGUCUGACUUGACC